RNAcentral lists this long non-coding RNA (604 nucleotides) under Homarus americanus (American lobster). Its description in RNAcentral is "uncharacterized LOC121867756, transcript variant X2". The record is from RNAcentral. Lineage: Eukaryota; Metazoa; Arthropoda; Malacostraca; Decapoda; Nephropidae.
GUGUAUGGGUGAGGGUGUGUGUGUGGGAGGUUCUCCCAUACACACACCCUCACCCAUACUCUCUCCCUCACCUUUCCUCCCACCCAACACACCCUUAGUGUGUGUGGAUGAGACUGAUUGUUUGUUUCUGUUUCAGAUUGUGUGGCCGAGGUGAACGUCAGGCUGGUCGAGAACUCCACCAAACAGGUAAAGUACUUAUGACAAUAUAUAAUGUUUAUAUACAAGUAUUUCUGAAUGUUGUCUUAAACUUUUUGUAUUCCAGGUUUGUAUGACUGACUGUGGACCUACAACAAGGUGCUGCCUGGAGGAGAUACUGAGGCAUCGUCACAGGUCUUGGAUGAUAGUGACAGGCAUGGUCACAGGUCUUGGAUGGGUGAUUGAGGCAUCUUCACAGGUCUUGGACGAGUGACUGAUGCAUCGUCACAGGUCUUGGAUUAGUGACUGAUGCAUCGUCACAGGUCUUGGAUUUCUCUACCCUUUAUAUUGUGGACUCCACAAGGUAAAACGGACGGCCAUUCAACAAUUGGUGUCCAGAUUGUCAACAAUUACCACCAGCAAGCAACACCUCCUCCUCUACUCCUGCCUGGCGGCCCUCGCUCCAGCC